AACGAACGCUGGCGGCAGGCUUAACACAUGCAAGUCGAACGCAUCGCAAGAUGAGUGGCAGACGGGUGAGUAACGCGUGGGAACAUACCCUUUUCUACGGAAUAGCUCUGGGAAACUGGAAUUAAUACCGUAUACGCCCUACGGGGGAAAGAUUUAUCGGGAAGGAUUGGCCCGCGUUGGAUUAGCUAGUUGGCGGGGUAAAGGCCUACCAAGGCGACGAUCCAUCGCUGGGCUGAGAGGAUGAGCAGCCACAUUGGGACUGAGACACGGCCGAAACUCCUACAGGAGGCAGCAGUGGGGAAUAUUGGACAAUGGGCGCAAGCCUGAUCCAGCCAUGCCGCGUGAGUGAUGAAGGCCUUAGGGUUGUAAAGGUCUUUCACCCAUUAAGAUAAUGACGGUAGUCGAAGAAGAAGCCCCGACUAUCUUCGUGCAGGCCGCCGCCGUAA
This 446-nucleotide ribosomal RNA is filed under the name uncultured bacterium. Its description in RNAcentral is "partial 16S ribosomal RNA". It matches the Rfam family "Bacterial small subunit ribosomal RNA", at positions 29 to 523 of the family's 1533-position model. The record is from RNAcentral.